AGGCUGCAGCAAGGAAUAUUGGGCAAUGGGCGAAAGCCUGACCCAGCGACACCGCGUGGGGGAAGAAGACCUUCGGGUUGUAAACUCCUUUUCCCGGGGAAGAAUAAUGACGGUACCCGAGGAAUAAGUCUCGGCUAACUACGUGCCAGCAGCCGCGGUAAUACGUAGGAGGCAAGCGUUAUCCGGAUUUAUUGGGCGUAAAGCGGGCGUAGGCGGCCCUUCAAGUCAGAUGUGAAAUCUCCCGGCUUAACUGGGAGGGUGCAUCUGAUACUGAUGGGCUAGAGUACAUCAGAGGGAAGUGGAACUCCCGGUGUAGUGGUGAAAUGCGUAGAUAUCGGGAAGAACACUAGUGGCGAAGGCGGCUUCCUGGGAUGUCACUGACGCUGAGGCCCGAAGGCGUGGGGAGCAAACAGGAUUAGAUACCCUUGUAGUC
This 433-nucleotide ribosomal RNA is filed under the name uncultured microorganism. RNAcentral describes it as "bacterial SSU rRNA". It matches the Rfam family "Bacterial small subunit ribosomal RNA", at positions 346 to 795 of the family's 1533-position model. The record is from RNAcentral.